Homo sapiens (human) is the source of this 2789-nucleotide long non-coding RNA. Ensembl annotates it as INHBA antisense RNA 1. Its record names the gene INHBA-AS1. The record is from Ensembl. Lineage: Eukaryota; Metazoa; Chordata; Mammalia; Primates; Hominidae.
GGAUUUUCCCCCUACUAAUUGACAUGCCUGUCGCCUCCUUCUCCUGGUGUCCAUUUCUGGAACUGCUAUUUGUAUAUUGCAUGAUAUUUUAUCAGGAAAAAAUAUAAAACAGAUCUAAUUUCAUGAAAAUGCUGUUGCCAUAAUGCUCAGGAGAACAGGGGGAAGAGAGAGAUUCAAGUCUUCCUAAUGUCUACCUUAUAUGCAGAGCCUUGGAAAGAUGGGCAAAUGCUCUGUGACAAGCCACCAGGGUAGACUGGUACUGAAAAGACCCUACUACACACAGGGGCUCUGUCCCUGGCUGGAAAGUUACAAGUCAGCCUACCUCUCUGUGAUCUGGUUUCCACACCUACUACUCUUUAUCCCAUGAGGAGCUUCUGGAAACUAAAAUAGGUACGUAAUCAAAACCAAAAGAAGACAUUGGUUCAAGGAUCCUCAAGAGCUCAGCAUCAUGUUUCUGUUGUUUCUUUUUGAAUAGACAAAAUUCUCAGUGUUCAGUAGCUACACACACACACACACACACACACACAAACACACACACCCCACACACAAAAGUAGCAUCUCCACAAUGUUGCAUGCAUCAGGAAAGCAAAUGUUUUUACCACAGGCUGGCUAUGCCUCAUCCUCUUAAACUAGCAUCUUGAGGUCUUUGCAGAAGCCAUUUUAUAGAUGCCUACACUCAUCCCAUUACUUGCAUUCUCAUCCUGAGGGUAUUUUAAGGAGUCAAAAUAAAGUUUACUUAGGCGUGUGUGAGAGACAGAAUGAUAGACCAAAAGAGAAGGCUAGGGCUUCGUAAUAUUUAGAUAAUGAUGAAACUGAAAUGGCUGAUGCAGAGUGCAGUAAUUAUAUAGGAUACUUUAUUAUUUGGGUUCACCUUUGCUCAGUAGUGAAUUAUAAGCACUCUACUAGGUGAGAGGUUUGGCUUCCAAAAUGAACAGCUGGCGCAGGAUGGAACUGUCAGACCAUGUCACAUGAUAAAUAAAAUAAUACAUAGAAACUUUAGGAUCUCCUAAUUGGAAGCUUCCUUUAGACAACAAAAGAUGCCAGGCUAUCUGCUGCCCCCUAACUGGUACCAUGAAGAACAGCACAUAACUUUUUAAGAAACAAAGUCUGAUUCAGGUACAAUUAGUUAGUGGCUGAGUCAACCUCCUAAGUUAUAGUUGUGAAUUUGGCCAUUUCCAUGAACCUGUUUGUUGCGAUUAAGGCAAAGUCAUCGGGUAGAGUCUGUUUUGUUUCUGUCUUUUCCUGAUGGAGAGGCACUCCUGAUUUGCAGCAGCUGCCCAGGUAGAAGAGUGUUGACCAAAGGACACAUCACCAGCACAGACUGUUAAUCAUGUGACUAGAGAAAACUCUCAUGGUGGCAUUCAAAUUUCCAUAUCCUUCUUCUAUGGAAAUUUCUGAGAGACCCAGAAAAGAAGCGUAACGACGAGGGAAAGUGAUUCCUGCAGACCUGAACAUUCCAGACUUACCAGGUGAUCCAGCUGUCUGUCAGCGGGAAGAGGCUGAGGCGCCCCCUUCUGGUGCAUCUGAAUAGUAAGAAACCCUGUGUAGAAAGAAACCCUGUAGCAAUUGGGCACCUUCUCCGUGAUCUGUCUGCUUCCAAUACCAAAAAUUGUUGCUUUUUAAAUGACAUCCAUCCUAAGCUUAAAAAAGACGCAUAUUAUUUGUAUAAAAUGUUGAAGACGCAGAACAAAAAAUGUAAAUCACAUGUAAUCAUCCCUUCCAGAAAUAAUCGUUAUUAAAAUUUCUGUGUAUGUGUAAAAAAAAAAAUUGCAAUCCUACUGUAAUAUAAUCCUGUAUACUGAUAUUUUUCACCUAUCACUGUAUGUUGAGCAUUUUCAAUAGUCAAAUUAUUUCUUGAAAAUAUUAAUGACUGGGGAGUAACCUUUCAAAUAGGUGUGUCUUUAUUUUUAAACCAGUCCACAAUUAUUGUAUAUUGAAGUCAUUUCCCAAAUUUUGUAAGUAUAAGUAUUGCAUCCAUCCUUAUAUGUAUUUAAAUGCAUCUCUUAUUAUUUCCUUGAGAUAAGUUCCUAGAAGUGGAAUCACUGGAUUUAAAAAUGUGGACAUAUUUAUGCCAGACGCGGUGGGUCAUGCCUGUAAUCCCAGCACUUUGGGAGACUGAAGCAGGUGGAUCACUUGAGGUCAGGAGUUCAAGACCAGCCUGGCCAACAUAGUGAAACCCCAUCUCUACUAAAAUUACAAAAAUUAGCCGGGUGUGGUAGUGCACGCCUGUAAUCCCAGCUACUCAGGAGGCUGAGGCAUAAGAAUCACUUGAACUCAGGAGGCGGAGGUUGCAGUGAGCCAAGAUGGCACCACUGCGCUCCAGUCUGGGCGACAGAGUAAGACUUCAUCUCAAAAAUAAAUAAAUAAAAUUAAAAUUAAAUAAGAUAAAUAAAAAAUAAAAAUGUGGACAUAUUUAAAUCUUCAUAUAUAUUACCAAAUGCCCUCCUGAAAGUUUUUACCUGUUACAUUCCAACCAAUAGUGUAAGGGCAUGACUCUUUCCCUGUGUUUUGGGAUGGAUGUUAUCAAAGUUCUCUCCCACCCAGGCCAAGUAUGGUAUAUGCUUUGAUUUAAUUUGAAUUUUUAAAUUAUUAUUUAAAAUGGACAUUUUGUUGUCCAUUUGAACAACUUUCUUUUGAGUCACUGUUCAUGUUCUUUGCCCAUUGUUUCUCUUUUAUUAGUAAGAACCCUAUUGUCAUUUUUAUAUUUUAAAUAAAAUUUCAUUGUAUAUACAUUUAUAUUAUCUAUAGUAAAGUAUAUUUUAUUAUUAAUGAGAACUUUUUAUAUUAAA